Molecule: RNA transcript, 4067 nt
Organism: Phacochoerus africanus (Common warthog)
Lineage: Eukaryota; Metazoa; Chordata; Mammalia; Artiodactyla; Suidae
Gene: ASPSCR1
Gene name: ASPSCR1 tether for SLC2A4, UBX domain containing
Exons: 13
Source: RefSeq, a predicted model, not a curated record
CCAGCCCCGGUCCCCACCCCGGGGACGCUCUCCGGCGCGGUGCGCUGCCGGCGGCUGUGCUGAGUCACUGGCGGCACUUCGCCGGGCAGCCGGCCGACGUCGAGCCUAUCACGUUGAAAGUGCCUGCUGAGCGCGGCUGUGUCGGCGACCGUGCGCGCACAUGGUCCUGGAGGACACGUGCCGGCGGCAGGACUUCAACCCCAACGAGUACGACCUGAAGUUUCAGAGGAAUGUGCUGGACCUGUCUCUGCAGUGGCGAUUCGCCAACCUGCCCAACAACGCCAAGCUGGAGAUGGUGCCCAUCUCCCGGAGCCGCGAGGGGCCUGAGACCAUGGUGCGCAUCGCCCUGCAGCUGGAUGACGGCUCCCGGCUGCAAGACACUUUCUGCUCAGGCCAGACGCUCUGGGAGCUCCUCUGCCAUUUUGCGCAGAUCAGGGAGCGUCUGGAGCGGCCGUGUCAGGCGAGCCCAGUCUGCGUGUACAUGCGGGACGAGGUGACCGGCAGAGCCGCCUUGCAGAGCACGACCCUGCAGUCGCUGGGCCUCACCGGGGGCAGCGCCACCAUCAGGUUCGCCAUGAAGCCCUGGGACGCGGCCGGCACGCAGGAGCCCGGGGCCUCCCGGAGCAGGAGCCCGGGAAGCCCGCGCCUGACACCAGCCGGCCAGGCCGCCGGCAGCCCUCUGCUGCCGCUGAACCCCGCGGGGCUCAGCCACGGCGACGUGAGCCGGCAGGACGCGGCAGCCAGCGCGGGGCCCGGCCUCACGGACGGCCCCAGCCCGACGCCCGCAGACGCCCAGGCCAAGCCCGUCGUGAAGGAGCCCGCACCUGCCCCCUUCGUGCCCUUCUCGGGCGGGGGACAGCGACUGGGGGGGCCCUGCGGGGCCGCCAGGCCUCUGGUGUCACCUUCAGCCAAACCGCCCAAGUCCUUCUCCAGCCCCGCAGGCCCCUCGAAGCCAAAGAAGUCGCGGCCUGGCCAGGAGCCCCAGCAGGAGCCGGAGCCAGAGCUGGAGCCGCCGGUGGACCGAGCCCCCGUGGUGUGCCACCCCGACCUGGAGGUGCUGCUCCAGGCCUGGCCUGCGGAGCUGCCUGAUGAGUUCUUCGAGGUGACUGUGGACGACGUCCGAAGGCGCCUGGCCCAGCUCAAGAGCGAGCGGAAGCGCCUGGAAGAAGCACCCCUGGUGACCAAGGCCCUCCGGGAGGCCCAGAUGAAGGAGAAGCUGCAGCGCUACCCUAAGGUGGUCCUGAGGGUCCUGUUUCCGGACCGCCACAUCCUGCAGGGCUUCUUCCGCCCCAGUGAGACCGUGGGGGACUUACGGGACUUUGUGAGGAGCCACCUGGGCAACCCCGCGCUGCCCUUCCACCUGUCAGAGCGAUGGGCGGGGGGCUGUGAGCUGAGGGGCCGCUUCAGAAACCCCCCAGCUGUGGCUGCAGGCCUCCGGCUCCCGCGUGGGCACCGAGGGCCAGGGCGCUUGCCGGGACAACACCCGUCUCUCCGCAGUCAUCGCCCCGCCCAAGACCAUCCUGGACGACCACACGCUGACCCUUUUUCAGGUACCAGCCUGGCAGGCUGGGGGCGCUGCUGGGCCAGCCCGAAGCGGCAGAGGCCCUGGACCAGGGAGGGGCGGGCGGCCUGGAAGGAGCAGAGCGCCUCCGAAGUCGGUUGGGGCUUUGCAGCCUCGGCCCUGCCGGGACUGCCCCUGGUCUGGGGGAGAGGGGCUGGUUGCUGGGCUGUGGGGAGCCCCGGAAGGGUCAAGGGUCAGAGGCCGCAGCCACGGGUGGCCAGCUGCCCGGGAAGGCCUGGGGGUGCCAGCUGUUGGCAGCAGGUUUGGCCCCGGCCUGGAGGGGCUGCGGCCAGGCCUUUCUCCCCGACCCCGUGGCCUCUGCUGGGAAUGCCGUGCUGGGCCCUCCCCGCUGGCCGGGGGCCCGGAGCUCCCAGGGCGGGGAGUGGUGAUCCUGAUGGGCUGCCCUGCUGGGCUGCGUCCAGAGCCAGAAGGAAUGUCCUGUGCCUUCGCCCCGGGAGAGCGGCCCGGGGCCUCCCCAGCCCUCCAGCCUAAUGGCUUCUCGUCAAAGUCUCUUCAGAUAUUUUAAUUAGGAGCAGAGGCUGGCCUUUGUCAAGCGGCCAGCAGGCCCCGCAGAGAUCCGAGUUGGGGUGAGGGGCCUCCGUGCUGCCCGCCCGGGGCUGCCACCGUCAGGGGUGGGGGGGGGCGGGGGGCGGGGGCAGACCGACUGCGGAGAGGCUGGAAGCCCACCAAGGAAAGGAGCCAAGGUUGGCGGGAGCAGGGGGCUCCCCCCGCGCCCCCUUCUCCGCCCCUGGGAGCCCCGGAGGCAUUGGGCCUCCUCCUGUCCCCGCCCGCCCUCCUCACUGGCCAGCCUGUUGAUAAACAUUGAAUUUGGAAGAUGCUUCGGGGUGGGGAGGCCCGCGGCCGUGCACUCCCUCCAGUUGGGAGCCCUGGGUGCCGCCUGUCCCACCCACGUGGCCUGAUUCCUGGUGACACUCUGCCCCCCGCUACCAGCAGCCGUCUCCUUUCAUCCAUCAGCUCGCCCUGGAGCCGCGGGGCCUCGCUCAGGGUGGCGUCCCUGGCUGCCCGUGAUCAGAGAGCUGGCAGGGCCCCGGGAAGGAAGCCUUCUUCCCGCCCGCGGGCCAGCGGGCGCGGAAGCGGCCGGCUUUUAUGUCCCUGGCAGGGCUGCCUGGGGCCAGGCCUGCGCCCCAGAAAGUGACAGCUCCGGGUGGGUGUGGGGAUGGCAGCCCAGCUGCCCCUUUGGCUGCGGGAGCAGGAGCAGGAGCGGCUCUUUGCUGAGAGCGGCCGAGGGGGGCCGAGGGCGGGAGGAUGCGGAGGUCGCGGUGUGGCCACAGAGCUGCCCAGCGCCCCCUCCUCAGACCUGAGCCCCUCCCUCCUUUCCUCCCGUCUCAGCCUCCUGCCCACUGCCUCGCCCAGGGCCCCGGCUCCACCCCUGGUGGGCCCCAAAGACCACCUCGUCCGUCUGAGCAGAGGGUAGACCCUCCCUCCCAGUGGUCCCCGUGGUCGCCCGCGCUGCCCCUCAGCUCUUUGUCCCUUAGGACCCCGAGACAGAGCCGGCGAGUAGGGGGCUUCCAGCAGGUGCUGAGGGGAGGCCAGGAGGCCGGGUUCACGAGGAGCCGCCUCCAGGAGGAGGGGGUCCUGCAGGCUUCAAGUGCCACAGCCCCCAGGCAGCCCCACAGGGCGGGUGGCCCCAGUGCCUGGCCGGUUGGCUGGGUCACCCGGGGCGGGUUGGGGCACCACCCUACCUGUGCGCCGCACCCCCCCCCCCACCUCCGUCAGUGUCCGAGGCCCUGGGGCACCUCCUGCGACCCUGCAGGCCACAUGCCCCUGCCCCGGGCUCCCACAUGGCCGCGUGGGGUUGCAGAGUGUUCUCAGCCGCCCUCGGCCUCAGCCUCUGCUGUGACCUUGGGUCCGGCCUCGGAAGCUUCCUCUUACUAACCCCCCAUCCCAACUCCAAGAGCUGGGCCCUGAGAACGGGGGGACACACUCAGCUGGCAGCUGUGGCCCUUCCACCAGGGACCGGAGACGCGGAGCCUCAGGCAGUGGCCUUGCUGCCGCCUCAGGCCCGCUUGGGGGUCUCAGCCGUGACCAUCCUCAGGUGCAGAGGCCGGUGGUGACCCGGGGGCUCUGGGCUCUGCGCUCCUCUGCUGCAGCCCCAUUCGGCCCCACAGUCCAGCCCCCUGCCCGGAAGGCACCCAGUCCCACACCAGACCUGGAGCUUCUGCUGCGGGGGGGCGCUGCCAGGCCUAGUUCCUCCUUCAGGAUGUCCGCUGCUCCCCGGGAACUGGGGGGAGAAAGGCCGGAGCGCACGGGUGCCCGUCCGGCUGGGGCUGGAGCUGGCCCCGGGCAGGACCCUGUGGUCUGAUGCCCUGGCCAGCCAGGGCAGCUGGGUGGUGGGCCACGUUGUGGGGUGGUGCCCUGGCCCCUGAGCUCCCUCUGCACCCCUCAGGCCAGCCUCUUCCCCGCUGCCCUUGUGCAUUUCGGACCCGAGGAGCCGACAGGCAUCUACUUGGAGCCCAGGCUGCUGGAACACACUGUGUCCCCAUCU